CCGCCUUUGGAGGGGGGGCCCUCCUUCCGGUCGAGGCCGCUUCCUGCGCGGCUGGGGAGGCGUCUGUUUCGCUGCUCCGGGGCCCCCAAACCCACAUUUCGCACCCCACAACCGCAGAUCCUCAAAGGGGUUGCCAGAAACCGGUCUGCGUGGAUACCACUGCCCGUCUCCUGGGCCCCGCUCCAUGGGAUCGCCACGAGACGCGCCCUGGGCCCCCUCACGACGACUACACGAGAUUUCCGCCCGAUGUAAAUUCCACAGUUGAGCAAACUGUCAUCCUAAGAAGGUGGCUGGCAAGCCAGAGCACUGCUGGACAAGCCUCCAGUCAACGAGGAGUUUCUCUGGCUGUGAACACCCACCUGGGUGGGCAGUGCCCACUGAGAAGUUCCACCUGCUCUGGGCCUUGGGCUGUAUAAGCCCAGGCCAGGGGCCAGCACUUGCCCAAGCUGCAAGGCACAUGUGGAAGAAGGUGAGUGAGCAUGCAGGAGGGUAAAGGCCUUGGUCACAGGGCAGUGU
This 516-nucleotide long non-coding RNA is filed under the name Fukomys damarensis (Damara mole-rat). RNAcentral's name for it is "lncRNA (ENSFDAG00000031375.1)". Lineage: Eukaryota; Metazoa; Chordata; Mammalia; Rodentia; Bathyergidae. The record is from RNAcentral.